UACGUAGGGGGCAAGCGCUGUCCGGAAUCAUUGGGCGUAAAGCGCGCGCAGGCGGUCCUUUAAGUCUGAUGUGAAAGCCCACGGCUCAACCGUGGAGGGUCAUUGGAAACUGGGGGACUUGAGUACAGAAGAGAAGAGUGGAAUUCCACGUGUAGCGGUGAAAUGCGUAGAGAUGUGGAGGAACACCAGUGGCGAAGGCGACUCUUUGGUCUGUAACUGACGCUGAGGCGCGAAAGCGUGGGGAGCAAACAGG
Molecule: ribosomal RNA, 253 nt
Filed under: uncultured bacterium
Lineage: Bacteria
Description: partial 16S ribosomal RNA
Rfam family: Bacterial small subunit ribosomal RNA
Source: RNAcentral